This is a small nucleolar RNA of Takifugu rubripes (torafugu), 78 nucleotides long. Its record names the gene SNORD83. It matches the Rfam family "Small nucleolar RNA SNORD83". Rfam says of the family: U83 (SNORD83) and U84 (SNORD84) are members of the C/D class of snoRNA which contain the C (UGAUGA) and D (CUGA) box motifs. They act as guanine methylation guides but lack complementarity to ribosomal RNA. NCBI's taxonomy places the organism in Eukaryota, Metazoa, Chordata, Actinopteri, Tetraodontiformes, Tetraodontidae. The record is from Ensembl.
GCCACGUGAUGAUGUGAUUGAUGUCAGUAGCCGUCUGUGCUGUGAUGACCUCUGAUCUAUCACCCUUUUCUGAUGGCU